RNAcentral lists this ribosomal RNA (857 nucleotides) under Campylobacter concisus. RNAcentral describes it as "bacterial SSU rRNA". It matches the Rfam family "Bacterial small subunit ribosomal RNA", at positions 562 to 1416 of the family's 1533-position model. Lineage: Bacteria; Pseudomonadati; Campylobacterota; Epsilonproteobacteria; Campylobacterales; Campylobacteraceae. The record is from RNAcentral.
UAAGGACGCGUAGGCGGAAUAUCAGGUCUCUUGUGAAUUCCUAUGGCUUAUCCAUAGAACUGCUUGGGAAACUGAUAAUCUAGAGUGAGGGAGAGGCAGAUGGAAUUGGUGGUGUAGGGGUAAAAUCCGUAGAGAUCGCCAGGAAUACCCAUUGCGAAGGCGAUCUGCUGGAACUCAACUGACGCUAAUGCGUGAAAGCGUGGGGAGCAAACAGGAUUAGAUCCCCUGGUAGUCCACGCCCUAAACGAUGUAUACUAGUUGUUGCUAAGCUAGUCUUGGCAGUAAUGCACCUAACGGAUUAAGUAUACCGCCUGGGGAGUGCGGUCGCAAGAUUAAAACUCAAAGGAAUAGACGGGGACCCGCACAAGCGGUGGAGCAUGUGGUUUAAUUCGAAGAUACGCGAAGACCCUUACCCGGACUUGAUAUCUAACAAAUCAUCUAGAGAUAGAAGAGUGUCUGCUUGCAGAAAUGUUAAGACAGGUGCUGCACGGCUGUCGUCAGCUCGUGUCGUGAGAUGUUGGGUUAAGUCCCGCAACGAGCGCAACCCACGUCAUUAGUUGCUAACAGUUCGGCUGAGCACUCUAAUGAGACUGCCUUCGUAAGGAGGAGGAAGGUGUGGACGACGUCAAGUCAUCAUGGCCCUUAUGUCCGGGGCGACACACGUGCUACAAUGGCAUAUACAAUGAGAAGCAAUAUCGCGAGAUGGAGCAAAUCUAUAAAAUAUGUCCCAGUUCGGAUUGGAGUCUGCAACUCGACUCCAUGAAGCCGGAAUCGCUAGUAAUCGUAGAUCAGCCAUGCUACGGUGAAUACGUUCCCGGGUCUUGUACUCACCGCCCGUCACACCAUGGGAGUUGAUU